UACAGAGGUUUCAAGCGUGGUUCGGAUUCAUUGGGCGUAAAGGGUUCGUAGGCGGCGCGGUAAGUCGGGUGUGAAAUCUCGGGGCUUAACUCCGAAACUGCAUUCGAUACUGCCGUGCUUGAGGACUGGAGAGGAGACUGGAAUUUACGGUGUAGCGGUGAAAUGCGUAGAUAUCGUAAGGAAGACCAGUGGCGAAGGCGGGUCUCUGGACAGUUCCUGACACUGAGGCACGAAGGCCAGGGGAGCAAACGGG
RNAcentral lists this ribosomal RNA (253 nucleotides) under uncultured bacterium. RNAcentral describes it as "partial 16S ribosomal RNA". It matches the Rfam family "Bacterial small subunit ribosomal RNA", at positions 524 to 776 of the family's 1533-position model. The record is from RNAcentral.